Molecule: ribosomal RNA, 398 nt
Filed under: uncultured bacterium
Lineage: Bacteria
Description: bacterial SSU rRNA
Rfam family: Archaeal small subunit ribosomal RNA
Source: RNAcentral
GUGUCAGCCGCCGCGGUAAUACCAGCACCCCGAGUGGUCGGGACGAUUAUUGGGCCUAAAGCAUCCGUAGCCGGUUCUGCAAGUCUUCCGUUAAAUCCAGCCGCUCAACGGAUGGGCCGCGGAGGAUACUAUAGGACUAGGAGGCGGGAGAGGCAAGCGGUACUCAGUGGGUAGGGGUAAAAUCCUUUGAUCCAUUGAAGACCACCAGUGGCGAAGGCGGCUUGCCAGAACGCGCUCGACGGUGAGGGAUGAAAGCUGGGGGAGCAAACCGGAUUAGAUACCCGGGUAGUCCCAGCUGUAAACGAUGCAGACUCGGUGAUGGGCUAGCCUUGUGCCAGCCCAGUGCCGCAGGGAAGCCGUUAAGUCUGCCGCCUGGGGAGUACGGUCGCAAGACUGAA